This 447-nucleotide ribosomal RNA is filed under the name uncultured bacterium. Its description in RNAcentral is "bacterial SSU rRNA". It matches the Rfam family "Bacterial small subunit ribosomal RNA", at positions 355 to 825 of the family's 1533-position model. The record is from RNAcentral.
UCGGGAAUUUUGGGCAAUGGGCGAAAGCCUGACCCAGCAACGCCGCGUGAAGGAUGAAGUCUUUCGGGAUGUAAACUUCGUAAAAAUAGGAAGAAUAAAUGACGGUACUAUUUGUAAGGUCCGGCUAACUACGUGCCAGCAGCCGCGGUAAUACGUAGGGACCAAGCGUUGUUCGGAUUUACUGGGCGUAAAGGGCGCGUAGGCGGCGUGGUAAGUCACUUGUGAAAUCUCCGAGCUUAACUCGGAACGGUCAAGUGAUACUGCUGUGCUAGAGUACAGAAGGGGCAAUCGGAAUUCUUGGUGUAGCGGUGAAAUGCGUAGAUAUCAAGAGGAACACCUGAGGUGAAGACGGGUUGCUGGGCUGAUACUGACGCUGAGGCGCGAAAGCUAGGGUAGCAAACGGGAUUAGAUACCCGUGUAGUCCCUGAGCGGGCUGGCAAGGCGCAU